UACAUUUAAGUAUAAUAUGUAUAAAAGUUUUUGAUACUUUAGGGGACAGGUAUUUACUGUCAAAUGUAA
Molecule: transfer RNA, 69 nt
Filed under: Syneta adamsi
Lineage: Eukaryota; Metazoa; Arthropoda; Insecta; Coleoptera; Chrysomelidae
Description: tRNA-Gln
Source: RNAcentral